GCCUUCGUGGUGUAACUGGAAGCACACUCAUCUCGUAUUGGGGAGGUUCCUGAGUUCAAAUCCCGGCGAGGGCA
RNAcentral lists this transfer RNA (74 nucleotides) under Stegodyphus mimosarum. It matches the Rfam family "tRNA". Rfam says of the family: Transfer RNA (tRNA) molecules are approximately 80 nucleotides in length. Their secondary structure includes four short double-helical elements and three loops (D, anti-codon, and T loops). Further hydrogen bonds mediate the characteristic L-shaped molecular structure. tRNAs have two regions of fundamental functional importance: the anti-codon, which is responsible for specific mRNA codon recognition, and the 3' end, to which the tRNAs corresponding amino acid is attached (by aminoacyl-tRNA synthetases). tRNAs cope with the degeneracy of the genetic code in two manners: having more than one tRNA (with a specific anti-codon) for a particular amino acid; and 'wobble' base-pairing, i.e. permitting non-standard base-pairing at the 3rd anti-codon position. The record is from Rfam by way of RNAcentral. Lineage: Eukaryota; Metazoa; Arthropoda; Arachnida; Araneae; Eresidae.